Molecule: ribosomal RNA, 439 nt
Filed under: uncultured bacterium
Lineage: Bacteria
Description: bacterial SSU rRNA
Rfam family: Bacterial small subunit ribosomal RNA
Source: RNAcentral
CCUACGGGUCGCACCAGUGGGGAAUAUUGGACAAUGGGCGAAAGCCUGAUCCAGCAAUGCCGCGUGCGUGAAGAAGAUCUUCGGAUUGUAAAGCACUUUCGACGGGGACGAUGAUGACGGUACCCGUAGAAGAAGCCCCGGCUAUCUUCGUGCCAGCAGCCGCGGUAAUACGAAGGGGGCUAGCGUUGCUCGGAAUGAUUGGGCGUAAAGGGCGCGUAGGCGGUUUAUGCAGUCAGAUGUGGAAUCCCCGGGCUUAACCUGGGAACUGCAUUUGAGACGCAUAGACUAGAGGUCGAGAGAGGGUUGUGGAAUUCCCAGUGUAGAGGUGAAAUUCGUAGAUAUUGGGAAGAACACCGGUGGCGAAGGCGGCAACCUGGCUCGAUACUGACGCUGAGGCGCGAAAGCGUGGGGAGCAAACAGGAUUAGAUACCCGUGUAGU